AUGAGGCCCGCUGAUGUGCAUCAACUUUGCGCCGCGCAUCCUGGUUCUCUUUUCAGAGUCAUGUCUCUUAUUGGAAUUUGCUACGCCGUCACCUCACCCACAGUUGUCUCCAUCUACCUCUGCCCUCGGCAUUCAUCUCUCCAGCCCCCGCUGUUCUUUCCCUGCUUUUCUUCUGAAGGAGCCAGCCGGAGCACUGACUCCCUCAUCCCCGGGCGUCCAGGCGACGUCGAGGUUGAUUCUUGGCCGGCGGUGUGCGGCGUGCAGCGGAAGAGUUCUCCCGAAAGGCAGAAGUUUUUUUGCUGUGAGGCAGUUAGAGAAGUGAGGAUGACAGAUUUAUUUAGCGGGAUACAAGCUGCUAUGGUGAUUAAUCGUGUAGAAAACAGUGACCAAUCCCUGAAAGAUUGGGUUAGCGACGAGGAUGGUUCAGGUGGUUUCACUGGAUUACCAGGGACACCAUGUUUUACUUCCAGGCUUUCAUUGCUCAAAGUUGGUUCAGUUGUUGCCAAGUUCAGUGAUUUCAAGCGGCAGCUAGUUAUGGAGACUGGUUUUGGGGGGUUUCUAGAGGUGAAGGCAUGGCAGAAGAUUAAUCUGAAGUAUAGCGCUAUUUUAAUGGACCGAGUGCAUGUAGAAUCCUGCACAAUCAACCUUGAGGAACAGGGCGUGCUUGAACUGUCCGAACAGAAGCUUAAUUAUGUUUUUGGCAUCCCCUCUGGUGAAUUCGAUAUAAACGGCGAAGGCGUCGAGCCAUCAGAAGCCUGCACCGAGUACACUCGAAUGGCAGCAUCAUUCAGCGACAAAGGCACACAUAGCCUAAAAGCAGCUGAAAAUGUUUUGCUUGGAGCUAUAUCAGAAGCGUCCUCCCAAAUAUAG
RNAcentral lists this ribosomal RNA (870 nucleotides) under Triticum aestivum (bread wheat). Its description in RNAcentral is "partial small subunit ribosomal RNA". The record is from RNAcentral. Lineage: Eukaryota; Viridiplantae; Streptophyta; Magnoliopsida; Poales; Poaceae.